Long non-coding RNA from Crotalus tigris (Tiger rattlesnake), 2971 nucleotides. RefSeq lists it as uncharacterized. The record is from RefSeq and is a predicted model, not a curated record. The transcript has 2 exons. Lineage: Eukaryota; Metazoa; Chordata; Lepidosauria; Squamata; Viperidae.
GCUCUCACGUGGCCCUUGGGCGCCAGGGGCAUUCGGAGCCUGGCGUAAAGCUCCGACGGCGAACGGGGCGGAGGCCCCGCUGUGGACACGGAGGAAAACCCAUUGACGUCCUCGAGCUAUUUUUACCUCAGCCGCUUUGUUUUCAAACACAGCCAGAAAGGGUGGCUUGAAUAGCAUGCAGGCAGCUGGCGUGUCAGCGUGUUUGGAGAUUACACACGUGCGGAGAUAAAAUAAUAUUUCAAACGAACAUGCCACCGCACUCCCGGUGACUCUGGGUGGGAUCUGCCCUUAGGAGAAGUUCAAGGAAAAAAGAGAAGAACUUGGACUUGCUCUGCAAAAAUUUGGACCCAAAGUUUGGGGUCCUGCAUUGAUCCUGGGUAGCACACUCAUCCCUGGUCCCCCCAGAGGAGGAAUUGUUCCGUGACACUUGUGAAUGAGUCCAUCUACCAAACAUUCUUGUUUAGUGUCAUCAUGUCAUUCGCACCUUGGGCCAGACCAGAGUUUGCAUAAUCAGUGCUGAACAAACCGCCAUUGGUGCUGCCCUUCCCAAAGAGCUGAUUUUUGCAGCAAAUAUGUACAAAUGAACUUCAAACCAAGAGAGAGAGAGAGAGAGAGACUAGUUUAAAAAGCAAAGUGUCUUUGUAUCCCAAAGUUGAAGAAGCUGCAUGAUGGCCAAACAUCUCAUCUGAAUCCAGCCCACCAGUCUAAGAGUUUUUAACGUGCUCCUAAAUACCUGCUCUCCUGGGAUGUUUGGUUCAAGAAAUCACAUGUUUUGGAGCAAUUAUAAAUAUUUAGAAUAAUCACCUAGACUUGUAUGCCCAUCAAGAUACAUGGAAAUCCUAAUCAUGCUGUUUCUCAAAAAUGAAACCUUUCUGUUGAAAAAAUUUGAACUUUCUGCUCUGAAAAUCACAAGGAAAUGGAACAAAUACAAUCCCAUUUUUAAGGGAUGAUUCUACUAUGGACAAGAUGGACCUUCUAUUUCUAAAGGCUGAAUUUUUGCAGAUUUUCUUUCCCUGUCCUUGCUGAUGACACUCGAGAACGUUCUGUUUGUCUUCCUUUCUCUGCUGCGCCUGAAUGAAACUCAGGAAAAAAUGAUGUGGCAAUUGCUCAAACGGAGAUGAGUGGAUAUAUGUUUUUAUGCCUGCUGAUCUGAUGCUUGGAAGACUCUUUUUCCCGGGACUUCCUGAGCUCUUUUCCAGAGGUAAUAGCAAUAGCACUUAGACUUAUAUACCGCUUCACAGUGCUUUACUGCCCUCCCUAAGUGAUUUACAGAGUGAACAUCUUGCUCAUAAAUAGAAUUACCUGUUUGAAAGAAAUAUAAAGUGCAUCACUUGAUGCCUUUUGGCAAAGCUGAUCUAUUAUUGCUCCAUUAAAUUAUGGACUGGUUGGCUCUGGAACCAAAUGUUGCAGUUUAUACCCUUCCCCCAGAGACAGAUGGAAAUUGGUGUAAUGUGUGAACACAGCCACUGUAGUUUAUAAACCGUGAUUUAUGCUUUACCACAUUGAGUGGUUUAUUUAGCAAGGUAUGGAAGAACUUCAGUCUUGCAUGAAGGAUAAAGUAUUUCAAAUCAGACUACUAUUUAUUUGUUACAUUCAUCAUGUUUCUCCUAAACAAUUACUUUUGUCUGUAUAAAUGUUCUGGAUAGAAAUAUUGAGUAUGAAAACUUCAAAAGGUUUUUUGUGUGUGUUUACUCUUUUUCUUUGUUUCCGUUUGGCUCUCAGCUCAUAUUUCUUUCUGUCCUAGUUUUUGCUCUUGUUUUGUUUCUCUAAUGGAAAAACAAAUGCACACACAAUAGACUGCAGGGACCUCCGAAUCCAUCCCCUAAGUUGGAAGGACCGUCUGGGCUUUGGGUACAAUUCCCUGUCCAGGGGAGAAGGUCCCAGGGGGUGGCCACAGAAUGCCAGCCAUGUUCCGGCUGCAGCUUCUAGCAGCAACCAAGUCCACAACCACCUCCUGGGAUCCAGGGGGAAUCCCAUGACAGUUGCAAGAGCUUCCCCAAAAAUAAUGGUAGUGCUGCCUCCAGAGGAACAGAAGCUUUUAAUCCUCUUCUCUUCUGCUCCCUACCUUUGUUUCCUAUCCUGUGACCUUCCCUCUUCCGCUGUUCUGUUCCUCUCCCAAAGGCCCACUUGCAGGCUCACAGAGGCCUGCCCAAAGCCACCUUAUGAAAGGGCAGCUCCUUUAUCCAAUCUCUGCCUUCCAUCUCCAUUCAUUUUCAGCAGCCUUUCACAGGGCCAGAGGAUCCCAGUCCUGCUAAUGGAGAUGCAAAAGGUCACUCCUGGCUGGCCGUGGAACAGCGGCUCCAUCUGUUCACCGUUCAGUGGCAGGAAUCACUUUGGCUUUCAAAGACGGGAAACAUCUGUUUAAACAUGCAUGUUUUGAAGGGCCGCCCUAUAUGGUAAACAUCACUUAGGGGAAAAACACUCACAGGGCAGGGUUGGGGGUAAGAAGCAGCAGCUCUCCAGCUUUUCCCUCCGAAUCACGGAUGAGAGCUGCACAGCCAAACACCCGGAUGGUCCAUUUGAAGCUGAUUAAACCCAGGAAAAAUGGCCUCUGAUUGCCUCUUCCCACCUGUAAAAUGGCUAAGGGGCUUUUUAUUUCAGGCUAAUGCAGCUAUCUUUACAACACCAAGACAAAUAAAUUGUGGGAAAUGAGCUUCCCUGCCAGAAACAAGCUUGUCAACAAAUCUUUCAAUUAAAUGGCUAAUUAAAACAGGGUUAAGUAUCACUAAAUGAUUAUCAUUUGGUGUCAGUGUUGAACGAUAGAUUAGGCCUGGUUCACAUAAUGUACUCAUUAUAAGGUGAUUUUUUUUUUCUGAAAUGAACUUUGACACAGUGGUUUAUAAACUAUAAAGAUAUAGUUUGUGUCUUUAUUUUCUUUACUAUAUUUUUAUAUCAACUUUCAAUGUUAACAACUUUUCAAAAUGGUAUACAUUAAAUGCAAUUCAAGCAAAAAAAAUCUGUUCUAUGCAAA